This 674-nucleotide long non-coding RNA is filed under the name Cyanistes caeruleus (blue tit). Its description in RNAcentral is "lncRNA (ENSCCEG00000019589.1)". Lineage: Eukaryota; Metazoa; Chordata; Aves; Passeriformes; Paridae. The record is from RNAcentral.
CUUAAUAUAAGGCUGAAUCAGAGAGGUUUGGAGGAGGUUAUGGGUAUCAGAGAUGCUGAGAAAGUAUUGCUUGCCAUGUGGAGAGCCAGAGAAAGAGCACCAUGAAAACUCUGUGGAAUUUAAUCCUGCAACUCACACAGUGGUUGUACCAGCAUGAAAAGAAAUAUAUUUUGAGGCUCACUGUCCCAAUGAGCUGUGAAGAAGAUGAAGUGAUGGGUAGCUCUUUCCCCUUCCAUCCCAUAACUUCCCAUGAAAUUCCUCUUGUGUAUCUCAGUUCAAGUGCUGAAACUGUGGAAAUUUUCUUGCAAGUUUUUAAAGAAACCUCUUUUCCAGUGGUUAAUCUCCUCCUUGUUUCCAGAAAAAUAUCUUCAGUAUAUUCUCACUGCAAAGCAGGCACUGAAAGAAUGAUCUUCUCCUUCCACUUGAAUUAUUAAAGUAGGCUGCCUAAGUUCUCCUCCUGUCAAAGUACAGCCCUCACUUUCAGAUGCUUAUGCAACAGAAGAAUACAAGUCUCUGCAUUCUGAGAUUCACACAGCACUUGCUACUAUAAAAGUGCUUUCCUUUUUUCUUCAUUUUUCCACAAAAUGUUGUCAGCCAGUUGAAUUUUUCUUAUAAAGUGGAGGGACAGUGAAAUGUCAUAAUAAACCUCACCAAGUUUCCUGAUGGACUUGUCA